Molecule: transfer RNA, 72 nt
Filed under: Candidatus Organicella extenuata
Lineage: Bacteria; Pseudomonadati; Verrucomicrobiota
Description: tRNA-Cys
Rfam family: tRNA
About the family: Transfer RNA (tRNA) molecules are approximately 80 nucleotides in length. Their secondary structure includes four short double-helical elements and three loops (D, anti-codon, and T loops). Further hydrogen bonds mediate the characteristic L-shaped molecular structure. tRNAs have two regions of fundamental functional importance: the anti-codon, which is responsible for specific mRNA codon recognition, and the 3' end, to which the tRNAs corresponding amino acid is attached (by aminoacyl-tRNA synthetases). tRNAs cope with the degeneracy of the genetic code in two manners: having more than one tRNA (with a specific anti-codon) for a particular amino acid; and 'wobble' base-pairing, i.e. permitting non-standard base-pairing at the 3rd anti-codon position.
Source: RNAcentral
GGUGUGGUAGCCAAGAGGAUAGGCGCAAGUUUGCAAAACUUCUAUACGUCGGUUCGAAUCCGACCCACACCU